Rattus norvegicus (Norway rat) is the source of this 69-nucleotide non-coding RNA. Lineage: Eukaryota; Metazoa; Chordata; Mammalia; Rodentia; Muridae. The record is from Rfam.
GGAGAUUUAGCUCAGUGGUAGAGCGCUUGCCUAGCAAGCGCAAGGCCCUGGGUUCGGUCCCCAGCUCCA